RNAcentral lists this small RNA (293 nucleotides) under uncultured Alistipes sp. RNAcentral's name for it is "5' ureB small RNA". It matches the Rfam family "5' ureB small RNA". Lineage: Bacteria; Pseudomonadati; Bacteroidota; Bacteroidia; Bacteroidales; Rikenellaceae. The record is from RNAcentral.
CGGCCUGCUGUGGCGAGAUGAAGUGAACGUGACCGUCGAUAGCCGCUGCGGUGAGGAUGAGGUGCUCGCCCGAGAUAGCAUCGGUGGCUGCACCCGUAACCAGAUCGGGAUCAACGCCAUCCAUCGUGUUGGGGUUGCCCGACUUGCCAAUGCCCGCGAUUUUACCAUCCUUGAUACCCACAUCGGCCUUCACAACGCCCAGCAGAGGGUCAAUAAUAGUCACAUUGGUGAUAACCAAAUCCAACGCACCCGCCUUUGAGGUGAUAGUGUUCGCCAGACCCAUACCGUCACGC